RNAcentral lists this ribosomal RNA (468 nucleotides) under uncultured bacterium. Its description in RNAcentral is "partial 16S ribosomal RNA". It matches the Rfam family "Bacterial small subunit ribosomal RNA", at positions 28 to 507 of the family's 1533-position model. The record is from RNAcentral.
GACGAACGCUGGCGGCGUGCUUAACACAUGCAAGUCGAACGGAAAGGCCCUGCUUUUGUGGGGUGCUCGAGUGGUGAACGGGUGAGUAACACGUGAGUAACCUUCCCUUGACUUUGGGAUAACUUCAGGAAACUGGGGCUAAUACCGGAUAGGAGCUCCUGCUGCAUGGUGGGGGUUGGAAAGUUUCGGCGGUUGGGGAUGGACUCGCGGCUUAUCAGCUUGUUGGUGGGGUAGUGGCUUACCAAGGCUUUGACGGGUAGCCGGCCUGAGAGGGUGACCGGCCACAUUGGGACUGAGAUACGGCCCAGACUCCUACGGGAGGCAGCAGUGGGGAAUAUUGCACAAUGGGCGGAAGCCUGAUGCAGCAACGCCGCGUGCGGGAUGACGGCCUUCGGGUUGUAAACCGCUUUCGCCUGUGACGAAGCGUGAGUGACGGUAAUGGGUAAAGAAGCACCGGCUAACUACGUG